Molecule: ribosomal RNA, 1277 nt
Filed under: uncultured bacterium
Lineage: Bacteria
Description: bacterial SSU rRNA
Rfam family: Bacterial small subunit ribosomal RNA
Source: RNAcentral
ACGCGUGACAACCUGCCUUUCACAGGGGGAUAACGGAUCGAAAGAUUCACUAAUACCGCAUGAGACCACGGGGGUGCAUACCCCAGGGGUCAAAGGAGGAAUCCGGUGGAAGAUGGGCUCGCGUCCGAUUAGAUAGUUGGUGGGGUAACGGCCUACCAAGUCAACGAUCGGUAGCCGACCUGAGAGGGUGAUCGGCCACACUGGAACUGAGAGACGGUCCAGACUCCUACGGGAGGCAGCAGUGGGGAAUAUUGGGCAAUGGGGGGAACCGUGACCCAGCAACGCCGCGUGAGGGAAGAAGGUUUUCGGAUUGUAAACCUCUGUCCUUGGUGAAGAGAGGAAGACGGUAGCCAAGGAAUAAGCCCCGGCUAACUACGUGCCAGCAGCCGCGGUAAUACGUAGGGGGCGAGCGUUACCCGGAAUUACUGGGCGUAAAGGGUGCGUAGGCGGCCUUGCAAGUCCGGUGUUAAAAGCCCUGGCUCAACUAGGGAGAUGCGCUGGAAACUGUAAGGCUUGGGUGCAGCAGAGGCAGAUGGAACUGCUGGUGUAGGGGUGAAAUCCGUAGAUAUCAGCAGGAACGCCGGUGGAGAAGUCGGUCUGCUGGGCUGUGACCGACGCUGAGGCACGAAAGCUAGGGGAGCGAACCGGAUUAGAUACCCGGGUAGUCCUAGCCGUAAACGAUGCUCACUUGGUGUGGGGGCAUAGAGCCUCUGUGCUGAAGCGAACGCGUUAAGUGAGCCGCCUGGGGAGUAUGCCCGCAAGGGUGAAACUCAAAGGAAUUGACGGGGGCCCGCACAAGCAGUGGAGCGUGUGGUUUAAUUGGAAGCUAAGCCAAGAACCUUACCAGGGUUUGACAUGCUGGUGGUACGGACUCGAAAGAGGAAGGACCUUAUCGAAAGAUGAGGAGCCAGCACAGGUGGUGCACGGUCGUCGUCAGCUCGUGCCGUGAGGUGUUGGGUUAAGUCCCGCAACGAGCGCAACCCCUACUCUUAGUUACCAGCACGAAAGGUGGGGACUCUAAGAGGACCGCCGGCGACGAGCCGGAGGAAGGAGGGGAUGACGUCAGAUACUCGUGCCCCUUAUGCUCUGGGCGACACACGCGCUACAAUGGGAUGGACAACGGGAAGCCAGGUAGCGAUACUGAGCAAAACCCUAAAACCAUUCCGCAGUUCAGAUUGUGGGCUGAAACCCGCCCACAUGAAGCUGGAAUUGCUAGUAAUCGCGGAUCAGCCACGCCGCGGUGAAUACGUUCCCGGGCCUUGUACACACCGCCCGUC